This 254-nucleotide ribosomal RNA is filed under the name uncultured bacterium. RNAcentral describes it as "partial 16S ribosomal RNA". It matches the Rfam family "Bacterial small subunit ribosomal RNA", at positions 524 to 776 of the family's 1533-position model. The record is from RNAcentral.
UACGGGGGGAGCAAGCGUUGUUCGGAUUUACUGGGCGUAAAGGGCGCGUAGGCGGUCAGCACAAGUCAGUUGUGAAAUCUCCGGGCUUAACCCGGAAAGGUCAACUGAUACUGUGCGACUAGAGUGCGGAAGGGGCAACUGGAAUUCUCGGUGUAGCGGUGAAAUGCGUAGAUAUCAGGAAGAACACCCGUGGCUAAGGCGGCUCUCUAGUACGGUACUGACGCUGAGACGCGAAAGCGUGGGGAGCGAACAGG